ACUACAAUGGGAUUGCCCUUCCACAGACAGAGUCUUUGUGAUGCACCCUCAUUACAGAUCCAUUUGGUGCUGCACUGCUUAUGGUUUGUGGGACCUGUAACGCUGUAGGGUAACAGUCCUCUCUUUCCUUACAAUGGUAAUUCUAAGAAAUUGCAUUUGAAAUGAUACUUUGCCGAGUCCGAAUGCCUUUCUUGUACUGGGACCAUAAGGAUCAGUAUGUUCUGUUGCAAAACAGGGGAUGCUGUGUUGUGUUUUCUUUAAAUAGUGAUCUCAGGAAUACUGUUCAUCUUGUCUGAGUCCCACUCCAAGCUGAAGGUUGAGAGUCAUCAUCAGAGGGACAGAAGUGGUGGAGGGAUUCCAGCAGCAUGUGUGGAGGUUAAAUCAACUGUCGGAAAAACAUGGCUGAGGAAAGCAACCAUUCAAGUAACAGUAGGAAUUUCUAGUGUAAAUUAAAUGAAACUAGAUGAGGCUGGCAGCUCUUCUAGAAGUUUUGUGCCUGUUUGAUAUCUGGCCUGCAACACUCACUUCCUGGCUCAUUUUUACUCUCUCCAACACCACCCAGUAGCUAAAUAGACAUUUUUGCUUCUUGCUAUGUAUGUGGCCUUGCUUUGAGAAUUUGAGAACUUUUAGUCAUAAUUCUGCAUAUAAUUCAUAGGCCGAGUAGCCACAAAAUGUGUUCAGAAAUUUUGUUGUGAUAGCAUCUCAGCUAUAGUCAGAUCUCCUGUCAAAAACUGAAAUUUAUGGUGAUGAAAGAAACUAAGAUAUUCAGUCAACACUCUGAAAUUAAAUUUCAGUGAAGAACAGCCCACAUAUUGUCAUAUUGUCAAGAUAAUAUUCUUUAUUGGGAACUCGUAUCACCAAGGUAUUUGAAAGAGGAUAUUUUUUCUAGGUAUGCAAUCAAAGUAGGCUAAAAACCAAUUUUUUAAGAAAGGAUUGCACUGGGAAACAUCAUUGUAUCAAUCUAUAAGAACUUUUUUUGUAUUUUCUUUUGUAAUAAGAAAAAUACAUUGUACUCAAGGAGUUGUGUGAUACAUUAUCUAUGUACUUCCCGAGUCUUGCCGCAUGAGUGCACUGUUGAAUAAAUGCCAUGUACGAUUCCUGCCUUAAAUUAGAGGUAACACUCCCAUCUCAAUGUAACCAGGAUAGAACUGCUGAGGCAAAAGCAAACAUUUUGGAAAACCUGUAACAAUGGGUUUCAUUUUAUAUAUUCAGCGUUAAUAGGAGCUAUGACUCACGUAUCAGGAAAAAAAAUCCAUAAAAAAACCCCAAAACCCAAAAAACCCCAGAAGUUUUCAGGAUAAAUAGAGCUGAUAAAUAUUCUUACAAUUUCUCUCCAUACAUCUGAAUUGAAUUGUCCUAGUUUAGGGCAAAUUUGGGGAAAACCCAGGAAAUAAACCCCCACGGCCCCUCUCCACCCACCUGGUUCAGGGAAAAAUUUCCUCUGAGAGAGAAGUGGAAAAGAACCUGUUUAUUCAACAAACAAAGCACUCCCCAGCACCAAAACAAUUAACAACACCAGAUGACAACAAAACUCUUUCACCCCUCUGAAGAGAUGAACAAAUCCAGAAGGUCUUUCCUGGGAGUGGUCGCCUGGGUCUGGACGCUGGGGAUGGCUGCUGCAGAUCACCAAAUGCAGGCUCCUGGUGUUCCUUGGUGUUUCCCAGAUCCCAGUCCAGAGCAGGUUGGAUGAUAUUCAGAAAGAGGAAAGGAAAAAGCAACAGUCCAUGGAAAGAAUUGGACUGCUUAACCUAACUAGGAAGCAAAGCAAGAAAGCAGGCAAAGCAAGCAAGCCAAGCAAGCAAGCAAGCAAGCAAAAGCAAAGCCAGCCAGCCAGCCCUAGCCUUUUCUAGACAGCAGACCAUGGGGGGAGGUGAACCAGAUGAUAACACGGCAAAACAAACCUUCACUUUCAGAGUCAGUUCUGAAAGCACAGAACAUAAUAUCAAACGUAAACAGAACACACGAUUGGAGAUACAAACACCAUAACAGUCACCCUAGGACAGAAUAUAAAAUUUUUGCAAAAUGUGUGAUGGAGAUUUGCAUACAUUUUAAUCAUGCAAGUUUGGAUAUGCAUGAUUGUCUCAAAGAAUAUUACUCUAAGUGAGCAUCUCUGCCUUGAUGUUAUCACAUCAAGAUAUGAUGUGACAGCAAGAAAUUUUAUUGUUAUACUAUUACCCACAGUGUCUUAGGUGUGUACAGAACAGUGCAAAUGUCAAGUGGAUAAACAUGCACCAUGAGAAAGAAACAUGAGAUAUGCUUGGGAAAGAGUAAUUUUCCAUAUACAGUUCACAAAGGAUAGGAUGAUCUAGCAAAGGAAAAGCGACAACUGUCAGACAUGAGCAGUAUCCUUCACCUCUGAUGUGAAUUUUGAGUGACAGAGCAUCAGCAGGUCAUGGAGGUCACAUUCAGGGAUCUAAAGUAAAGAGAGUAUCUCAACCUGACCAUGAAAGCACCCACAGUUUCUACAGACACGCAAUGACAAUAUAAAUAAUAAUCCUCUUCCUAAAUUUUCAUUUGGGUGUAAGUUUUUAUCAUCUGUCCUUACCAGAUACUUUGUCUUUACAUUUGCUUUCAAUCUGAAAUUUGUGUUAUUAAACUACAGAGACAUUACAAAUACUGUAUAGAUUAAGAUGAUUAAUACCUAAGCAAACCCCAGCUGCUUUAAAUCCCUGAGUUACUUGUAGCCAUUUUCUACACUUACCAAGAUUUUGUAUGUGCAUUUUUAGAGUCUUAUAUAUAACUCUCAGAAAAUGUGUAAAAUAUAUACAAAAAGAAUAUUUUAGUCCACAGUUCCUACAGCCAAAGGCUUUCUAGUCAUUUUCUAUCCUAUAGACAAGAGAACUGUAGCAUUUUUGUAAAAGAAGAUAUUACCACCCUCAAAGAAUAGUUUAGACUGGCAGAAUUAUAAUAUAUUAGGGCAGUGAAGGGUUGUUUUCUAACAGGUCAGAGCUGCCUGUUACAGAAUGAAGAAUGAAAAAAGAAGGAUUGUUGCUGUAGCAGUAGGACAGCAUGUUUAGGAAGAUAAGUAAAAUUUACUGUUUCUUUCUGUGAAGGCCUGAAUUCCUGUACCUUGAAAUCACAUUCUCUGCUUCAAGGGUGGUAAAGGAGGAAUACAAAGUACCUUCCACCUUCAACUUUAGGUUAUGCUUCACAAGUCAGAAAAAAAAUAUUUUUUAAUAUAAUACACAUUCACUCGGAGUAUGAUUUUCUUCUCCUAGCAGUGUCAUAAAUAGUGACUGAGUGGCUCCCAUUUUCCUUCAUUCUGCUCUUCUAUUUCAUACAUUAAAGCCAGAGGUCCAAAGUGUUCCUGAUGGUGACACAGAAUAUAGCCCACAUUAAGGGUCCUUGAACUCUUCUGUGAGGUGAGUGAUUUAAAGUUGCCACCAGAGCCAUUCAAACUGGAUGCUCAAGUAGUUACAUGUUUCUUCUGCUUACAUAUAGCAAUGGUAAAGAAAAUUAACACCAAAAUCUAGAAAACACUAACAAUAUGCUUUCCAUUUGUAGGUCUGCCAUUUGAAAUUUCCUUUUAUGAGAUGCAUAAAAAUUCUUGGGGAAGAAACAGGGGCUCUGGAGUGUGAAGAAAAUAAUCAAUCUUUGAAAUGUUUCAGAUGAGCUAUUCUGCUGAUCUUUUUCAUCUUCUCUCAUGUUCCACCACCUUUAAUUGUAUAUUUCUCCCUUUUAAGGAAACAGUGCUACUUUUUAGCACUAGUGAUGUCCUCAUUGCCAAUUAGAGUACAGACAGAAAACAAAUUGUCUUUGAGUUUUACACUUUAGAGACAUUCCUCCUUUUUUGAGUCCUCAAAGCUUAAGCUGUUUUGUGUUCAAGCUUCUGCAGCAUAUAGUAUUCAAAAAGUACAGUUCCCCUUAAAAUAAAUAAUUCUCAGCAACUUCAAGCAGAAUUAAAAUUUUGCAAUGUGUUGCAAUUAAUCAAAAAUCCACUCUCUAACAAAGACCAUGAAUAUGUAUUUUUAAAUUAACAUAACAUGUUAUGAUCCAUAUUUCUGUUAUAUCUUUUUAGAAUUAGAGAAAGAAUAAAGCAAUUGAGCACAUUCAAAUGUUUUUUUCUUCAUUCUAGAUGGCUUUUGGAGUCUGCUGCAUGAGAGCUGUAUGGAGAUGAAUACUGUAUGGAGAUGAGUGCUGUUGGAUGCCCGGGUACUUUGCCUACUUAUGCCUAACACAGCUGGCUGCUGCAGGAAGUGGCACAGCAGGAAUCAACAUGAUUUCCCACCCAACCAUGCCAGACUGCCAGCAGAGACCUUCCUUCAGAGAGCACAAGUUGAGAGCUAGGAAUGUGACACGAGGGAAUGAUUGUGCCAGAUAAUCAAGUAGGGUAAAAUAUCUAAUCUCUUUGGUUCUGUAAUAAACUCCAGAGUUCAGAUCCCUUGUUUGUUCCCAUUUGCACCUGACAGCUGGACACUCAGUAUAUACAGGCCGAUAACUAGGUCCUUAACCUAGCUGGAAAAAUAACUGAUGAGAUCAGGCUGCAGUAUUUAAUUUAGCAAUGUUUUUCAGUGUGUCUGCUGCUCAGCUUCUGAUGUUCACAGAACUUUAAAAAAUGCCUAUUUUUUUCAACUAGACUUCCUCCUUCCACAUCCUUGACCAACAUAGUCAAAAUUAUCCGGCAGAUUAAAAAGUGGCUGGAGAGGACAAACAGACAACGCAACUACAUAUGCAUCAGUCCCUUAGAAAACUAGUAGCAGGAACUUAGUCGUCUCCAACACUGUUAUUUUCAUUCUGCUCUCUGUAAUUGUGCAACACAGGAAAGGCAACAAAAUUGCUUCAUACAUACCUAACAUUUAUUUGUGUGAAAGGUUUUGCAAUAAUGUUUUACUGUGUCUGAUUGUGUACCUGAAGUUUUUUUAAAAUUUUUGUGGUAUUAUAGGAAUGGCAAUUAUUUCCGCUUCCCAAUGCUGGAUAGUGGAGAUAAAAUACCAGGAUAUAAUUUUCAUAGCAAAGAGAGGUUUUGAGAAUGAUUAGGUGAAGUGAUUAAAAUACAUAGAGAGCCAAUGUUUGGAUGACUUAAAUCUUUGUUCCAUUCACAUUUAGUGAAUUUAGUUCCAUUUAGUUCCUUUAUAAUCAUUAACUGUAAAUACUGUGUUAUAUCAUAUCAGACAAGACAAAUCAGGGCAAGGGCUAAAACUGUAGUCACACAGAUUCAUAUCUUUGUGAUAUGUCUGCUUCUGACAGGGGAAAAGAGAACUCCUCCAAAUAUGUUCAUGAUAUCAACAAUUCUACAGUAUGUGUUGUAUGUCACUGUUCCUAGUGGAUUGUGUGAAAGAAUCUGUGGCAAAGCAUAGUCACCUUACACAUAGACAGACCUUGCAGAUAGAACACACCUUAAGACAACUCUUACAUGCUACUGAACCAGUCCAUCAAUGAGGAAUAUUGGAAAGACUGGGAAACAUUUGAAAAGUACAAGUUAGAAGGAUUGUCUGUACGAACACCAACUCUUCUGAAGUGUUGUCACAAAAUUUACAGGAAUCUAUCAGCAAAAUUCGAUUAAAAUGUAAUUGUCUUUUGUCUCAUUCAGCCACAUCUCUUCUACAUAUCUGGUUUUAUUCUACAUUCAAAGAGAAAAUAUAAUUAUUUCAAAAUAAGUGAUUUAGAAAAGUCAGAGUAAUUAAUUAAUCAAUAUAAAACCCAUAAUAUUUUCUUAAUUUUUAUUUCACAGAAUCACAGUAUAGUUGAGGUUGAAACAGAUCUCUGUGUGUUUGUUACCUCCAUGCUUCCUUGCUCAAAGUAGGGGCAAACAGAGCUGCUUUCUGAGGGUUUUAUUCUUUUGGGUUUUCAGUACCUUCAAGUAUGGAGGCUACACAAAACAUUUGCGUGCAAUAAAGAUAAACCACUGUAGUCCAAGAAGAUAUCCUGACAGCCUCUGUAUUUUCCUCUACUUGCUGUUAAUGUGCAUGGCUUACAGCACCUCAAGGUGUUAGAAUUAUAGACCAUCCUGAGUUGGAAAGGUCCCACAAGGAUCAUUUAGCCCAACUCCUGGCUCUGGUCAUAAUGAUUAUCACACCAUGUGCCUGAGAGCAUUAUCCACAUGCAUCAUGAGCUCUGUCAGGCUGGUGCUGUGACUACUUCCCUGGGGAGCCUUGUCCAAUGCCCAGCCACUUUCCGGGUGAAGAGCCUUUUCUUGAUAUCCAACCUAGACCUUCCCUGGCACAACUUCAGGCCAUUCCCUUUGGUCCUGUCACUGGUCCUGUCACGGUGAAGAGAUCAGUGCCUGUCCUUCAUCUUCCCCUUGUGAGGAAGUUGUAACUGCAAUGAGGUCUCUCCUCAGUCUCCUUCAGGUUGGAAAGAACAAGUGACCUCAGCCACUCCUUGUAUGGCUUCAAUAUAUUACUGUCCAGUGGACCCUUUUUGCUGAAUGCCUUUUGUGGUCCUGUAUGUCCCCUAGCAAGUGAAAGGAGUACAUCUUUUGCCAUUUCAAGUUCAAGAGGCAUCAUCCUUCUCUUAUUCCAAGAAACACCAAAAAUUGUAUAACCCUUAAUGAGUAAAAAAAAUUUACAGUAACAUUUGGUAUAAGAACUCUAGACUUAGAGAAAUGUUAAAAAAUAAUUUAGUACUGAAGCAGAAAUAGUUUUCAUUUAUACACACAAUUUUUCACUUUUGUGUAGAUGUUUUUAAGAACAAACCUCCAAAAACCUGUAGAUUUUUCAGCAGUGGUCAGCAUAGACCUUAUUAUGUCAUAAGUCUUCUGUGGCAAACAGAAACACAUGAAGAUUUAAAUAAGUCCCCACUCUUGUCACUAGUAGAGGUCUUCACUGCACACAGAACAGAAUUAUUUAAUGACAGUUUGGAAGUACUUGAAGUUUGGGAGCAAUAGAUAGGCUACAGUAGGCUCUGUUUAGUCCUAUAUAUGUCUUUGACAUGCCAUGUUAACAGGAUGCGAAGGAAGAUUAAGUUGGAAGUUAAAUGCUCAUGCUACAAUGUUCUUAGAAUAUUUUAAAAACCCAAUGAUUUCCAAGAAAAUGCAUUGAUAGAUUGCCAAGUCAGUUUUGGUCAGUUAGAAAAUGUAUUACUACUAACUAUAUUUGGGUUGGUUUUUUACAUCUUUAGGGGAGAAAACCUCAGAGUGAAGAAAAACAAGAUGUUCUCAUACAAAUGUUAAUAUAUAUUCUGGACUUUAGGAUUGAAACCCUGUACUCUAAACUAGAGCAAGUUUUUUUGAGUUGUCAUCUCCAAAAUCUGAAAACCCUACCUCACACAAUCUAUUUUAAAGUUUUCAAUUGCUUUCACUGAAAAUGUUGAGAAAAGAUUUUCUUCCCACUACAAGUAAUUGUAGUGGUCUUUUUGUAUUUGGUCUUUUCCCCAGUGUAAGUCUGCCUAUACACUGGAGUCCAAAUUAUACAUAGCUGAUCUUUUUGUGUGUUGGCUAUGUUACAGGUUUUUUCCAGCUUGAGAGGUUUUGAAUUAAAUUUCCUGUAAAUUGUUGGCAAAUGGCUGAUAAAAUGGCUAGUAUUUACUGUGUGCUCCAAAUUAUUCAUGCAGUGGCAUGUGGUACUUUUCCUUCUUCUCUUUUCUGCAAAUAUUUACUUUUUGCAGAUGAAUUUCUAAAGCCAAAAAAGCACAAACCACUUGUAGGCAGCUGGUUUUUUUGCUACUCCCAUGCCAACAGUUAUAUAUAUAUAUAUAAUGUUUUUUAGUAACUUCAUUAAUGUUUUUCUCUCUAUCACUGUUUUCUAGAGUUUUUCUCUCUAUCACUGUUUUCCAGAGAUUGUUGUCUUUCAAGAUAAUUUAAUAUGACAUACUAAUUUGAAUUAGAAGAAAAUUUUGAAAACCUGUCCAUGGACCGAACCUAAUGUUGCAACUGUAGGCAUAGAGUUAUUAAGAGGGGUCCAUUGUCAAUGAAAUACAUUAACUCUAAUGGUGAAGCUUGGAGAAGAAAAGCAAGCAA
Taeniopygia guttata (zebra finch) is the source of this 7897-nucleotide long non-coding RNA. The record is from Ensembl. NCBI's taxonomy places the organism in Eukaryota, Metazoa, Chordata, Aves, Passeriformes, Estrildidae.